Molecule: ribosomal RNA, 497 nt
Filed under: uncultured bacterium
Lineage: Bacteria
Description: partial 16S ribosomal RNA
Rfam family: Bacterial small subunit ribosomal RNA
Source: RNAcentral
GAUGAACGCUGGCGGCGUGCCUAAUACAUGCAAGUCGAGCGAACGGACGAGAAGCUUGCUUCUCUGAUGUUAGCGGCGGACGGGUGAGUAACACGUGGAUAACCUACCUAUAAGACUGGGAUAAUUUCGGGAAACCGGAGCUAAUACCGGAUGAUAUUUUGAACCGCAUGGUUCAAAAGUGAAAGACGGUCUUGCUGUCACUUAUAGAUGGAUCCGCGCUGCAUUAGCUAGUUGGUAAGGUAACGGCUUACCAAGGCAACGAUGCAUAGCCGACCUGAGAGGGUGAUCGGCCACACUGGAACUGAGACACGGUCCAGACUCCUACGGGAGGCAGCAGUAGGGAAUCUUCCGCAAUGGGCGAAAGCCUGACGGGGCAACGCCGCGUGAGUGAUGAAGGUCUUCGGAUCGUAAAACUCUGUUAUUAGGGAAGAACAUAUGUGUAAGUAACUGUGCACAUCUUGACGGUACCUAAUCAGAAAGCCACGGCUAACUACGUG